AAAACGAAUAAGUCGUAUAAAGUUCUAGAUAAAAAAUUUAUAAUGACUAAGUUUUAUCUAUAAGUCUUGACCAAAUUACGUGCCAGCAGUCGCGGUAAUACGUAGAAGACAAGUGUUAUUCAUCUUUAACAGGUUUAAAGGGUACCUAGACUGAAAAUCAAGCCAUAGAAGGGACUAAUUUUCUAGAGUUUUAUUUUUCAAGGUGGAACUAUCUGAGUAACAAUAAAAUGUACAAAUACAUUUGGGACGGAUAGCGGCGAAGGCAAUCUUGUAUGUAAAAACUGACGUUGAGGGACGAAGCCCGGGGGAGCGAGAAGGAUUAGAUACCCUAGUAGUCCAGGGAGUAAAUGAUGAGUGCCAUAGGCUAGAAACUAGUUUAUAAAUGAAAGUGUAAGCAUUCCACCUCAUGAGUAAAGCGGCAACGUUGAAAUUGAAAUCAUUAGACCGUUUCUGAAACCAGUAGUGAAGUAUGUUAUUUAAUUCGAUGAUCCGCGAAUAACCUUACCACCUCUUGAAUGAAUUUUUUUUUUAAUCACAAGCGCUGCACGGUUGUCUUCAGUUAAUGUCGUGAGAUUUUGGUUUGUUCCAUUAAUUAACGAAAACCCUUGUUUUAUUUAUAGAUAGAGCAGUUCACUAUUAUAUUGGAUGAUAAAUGGGAUCAAGACAAAU
Molecule: ribosomal RNA, 669 nt
Filed under: Bradymyces pullus
Lineage: Eukaryota; Fungi; Ascomycota; Eurotiomycetes; Chaetothyriales; Trichomeriaceae
Description: SSU rRNA
Rfam family: Bacterial small subunit ribosomal RNA
Source: RNAcentral